Long non-coding RNA from Vitis vinifera (wine grape), 316 nucleotides. RefSeq lists it as uncharacterized. The transcript has 2 exons. NCBI's taxonomy places the organism in Eukaryota, Viridiplantae, Streptophyta, Magnoliopsida, Vitales, Vitaceae. The record is from RefSeq and is a predicted model, not a curated record.
UUGGUGGGGCCUUUGUUAGCAAAGUAUGGCUGUAUUACAAAUAUGUGCGUGAGAUUCCAUUUGCUCUGACGGGUUCACUUAAUCUUGCAAAAGCAACAUCAGAGGGAAACACUGUCAUCCUGUUUGUGGCUCGUGCAAAUGAUAAAUAGUGGCAGGUAACCCAGCAAACUCUGAAAGUCAUUCUCGAUUCCUUCCAAGUGUAGAUCUUUGUCAACCACAAGACAAGAAGGUUUUAUUUAUAAUUCAUUUAUUUGGAAUUUGUAUAGAUACAAUGAGAUCUGAAAAGGAGUAAUAUGUUAUCAACUAUUGCCGGUUC